UAUUAUAAUAUAAAUACAUCUGAUGGUGAAUAAGCAACCACAGUCUUGUUUGAACCCCUGCAUGAUAUCAUAAGAUUUGACCUCUUCUGUGGACAGCCUGCACAAAUGCGACAUUACUUCUGUUUAAAAAAUGGUGUACUUUUUUAUUUUCUGCUGCAAUCACCAAAACCUUUGCGAAAAGUGCAGUUUUUCAGUUCCAAGUGGAGAAGUGAAGAUGAGCCUAAUGGGAGAGGUCGUGUCUGUAAGUUUUAGCCUACACACCGUGACAGAGUAGCUGCGUUCUCUCGCCUGCACAACUGCCUCGAAGUGUUUGAGCUCCAGGUCAUAAACAAACCACAACACAUGUCCACUGUAGCUUCACUUUUUCUUUCCUUUUUCACUUUGUUUGCCAUGUAAUUUACCCAAAAACACAGAGAAAGUGCCAUUUUUCAUCAUUUCACAGCCCUCGUCUGUCCCCAUCAAACCAGACUACGGUACCCAAUUGAUGUUUGUUUGACUUGAAGGUGACGUGUUCUGGUGUACCAGAGGAGGUGAUGUGUGGAUAAUAUUCCUUCUUAGCUAUUGUUUGCAUACACCUUGAUCAAAAUUUUGCAUCAAACCACAGAUCUGACAUGACACUCUUUCUACUAGCUCAGUGAGAUACACAAACACAGAACCAUGUUUUUUUUUAAACCACUGAGUUUAGUUACUUGACUCCAUUGCUCAUGUUUGUGUCCUGAUGUGCUGUAAUCGGUGACCUAAACCAUUCAGCUGUAACCAGGCUCUCAUUAGGGGGAUUUGAACUGAGCUUCACAUGGCAGCUAUAAAUGAAAUUUUCUUUUAACUCCACUCUUUGGCCAUUUUUUUAAUGCGCAUGUUUUGUUUGAUGUACCUUGCUGAUCCUCAGCCAGUGUAACUCUUCCACAGGUCUGUGGGUUUGAAUUUUAAGAAAUACAGGCCAAGUGGUUAAAGCGCUUGGUUUCAGUUCAGAAGGUUCCAGGUUCAAAUCCCACCCCUGCCACAUUUCUCCAUGUAAUGUGGAGUUGCAUCAGGAUGGGCAUCCGGCGUAAAACCUGUGCCAAUUCAACAUACAGAUCCACCUUGGAUUUGCUGUGGCGACCUCGAGUGCAAACAAGGGAGCAGCUGAAGGGACUUACUUACUUACAGUUUGUGUGGGAGAGAGCUGAGUUUUGUGCUGUAUCUGGAUGUAACCGCGUGUGGUCAGUAAUGCGUUAGAGGUGUUUUUGGACAUGCCUGUGUCUGCAGCCUGCAUGUUUCAGCGUUAUCUGGGUACCGAUAAGAUCAGCAGCGUCGUCCACGCACAUCUGUGUCUGUGAAGGAUCGACGCACGGCUUUGGGUCAGACAGAUACGUCUGGCUGCAUGCCCACCGCUCAAGACCAUGAUUGGCCGGUGCUGUUGGAGCGAUCGAUCUCCUGCUGGAGCGAUCGAUCUCCUGCUGGGUCAUAAGACAUCCGGUCACUGCACAGCUGGGGGAGGGCAGCAACCUAUUUAUUUUUAGUAUUUUUUGUAGUUUAUGGAUUUUUGAAACUUCAAAUGGUAAAGGCAUCAAACAAUUCAUGGUUGUUCACUGUUUUAGGUUGGGAUUAAGGGAAUGUUCAAUUUAAGAAUGGAUGGGGGGGCUGUAACUUAAAGCUGUCUGCCAGACAUGCCCCAGUGAACCCGGGUUUCCGCUGAACCAGACGCAACGCUGCUCCUGCACGUAAUGUUUGAGAUGUUUCACCGGCAGCUGCUCCUAGUUUCUGUCAACUGUUUAGGAUUUCUUUCUUUUUGUCCAAGUAUUCUGGUAUUUGAGUUUUUUUUUUGUUUUUUAAUACUGUGGAAAUAAAUAUUCAUCUUUUGUUUGGGCUUUGUUGAACAUGGGUGUGUGCACGCAGUUAUUUCAGUUGUGUCUGUGAUGGUAGCCAGCAGCGUUCAUGGCUGUUGCUUUGUACCGAACACAAUAUUUUCCACAGAUCCUACUGACAGAGGAGAACCUAAGUGAAAACAUUUGAGCAUAAUUUAGGGUUGCGGUUGGAAGUGCACCACAUUGAUGUCAUUAGUCUUCAAAGGUUUUGCUGUCAUAACAGGGUUGUGGUGGAAGUCUCUGUCUGUAUGGGUGCACAAGAGGAUGUGCUAACAAUCAAAUUAUUUUUUAUUUAUUGGUGACCUGGGAUGGAGAAGAGAACUCGUGUCCUCUCAAAGACAGCCUCUUCACUGUCCUGGGUUUCACACGAUACAGUAGCCAUGUUUUCUGUUUGUAUCAUGCAUGGCCUCCUUGUGCCCCCCAUGUGCAUCAUGAGGGCAGACAUUUUAUUACCUCAUUAGGGUUAAUGGUUGUUAAUGUUUAUCCAACCCUGAAUUCCACAACAUUAAUUUACCUCCUUUUUUUUCAUCUGUGUCACGACACCGUCGGAUGGUGCUGCACUGGGAAACCAAAACCCACGGGGAAAUAAACGGCUCUAGGUUCAGAUUGCAAAUCUCUACAUCUGAUCAGAUUAGUCUUCAGUGUUUUGCUGGAAUGUUCUGCUCUGAUGUUGCUGGAGGGUUGUUUUUUUUUUUCUCCAUUUUUUGUGUGUUCUCUCUUAAGCUUUCCCUUUGUAUGCAGGUAGGGUGUAAUGCAGACUUGCAGAUGUUGAACUGAUGGGAUGAUUCACCAUCGUACACAAUACACACACAGAUAUAAACUUCUGAUUUGUUUCUUUUUUAACCUUUUCUUUUUUCUUCAUCUUUAGGCUGUUAAUUAUUUGGCACUGCUCCAAACUCCAAAGUGAACUCACACUACUUGAAUGCAUUCCCUUCCCCCUUCAUUCACCCCCACAAAUCACAAAUUCCAUUCCAUGAAUCCCACCUAUUGGAAGCUUUUGUGUAACAUAAUCGGUCAGUAAAUGUAUAAUUUAUAUUGUAUGCGUUAUUUCUUUCUCCGUGCCUCUCAAAGUGUAUUCCAGUCUUUGCUCUGCAGGUAAAAGCCAAAGAAGCAUAGCUAAAUAUUUCUGUCUGCAGUCGGAACAUCCUGUCACAUAACUUUCUAACCUUUAUGGCCCCUCAGCCAGAGCCCUUGCAGCUGCAUGCGCACACACACAUACACACAUCCUUGUGAUGUAGAACAUGCAGCAGUUUACCUUGUUGUAACUGGUAGUGGGGGUGGGAUUCCUCCUGUUAUAGUUUCAUGUGAAUGUGGUAUUUUGACUUCAUGGAGCAGCAGUCUUCAGGACUCAUCUCUCCUUGUUUUUGUUCUCGGCUUCU
Molecule: long non-coding RNA, 3223 nt
Organism: Thalassophryne amazonica
Lineage: Eukaryota; Metazoa; Chordata; Actinopteri; Batrachoidiformes; Batrachoididae
Exons: 3
Source: RefSeq, a predicted model, not a curated record